CUCUGAGCAGAGCAUUGUGACUGGACCCUCAAAGCCAGGCAGGCACCAUAACUUUGGAUUUUCAGCAAUUCUUGAUCCCAGAGAUCUGGCUGUUGGUUCCCUCUGCAGUAUUGUAACAUCUCACUCACCAGAGUACCAAGCUAUGAGGCACACAACCCAUCCCAAGCCACUUUUCUAUCUCUGAAGGCUCCUGGUGGGCAGAGCAGCCAACAUCAAAGAUUCUCAUGUGAACUGUCCACCCCUCCCUCGUAGCCUCAGCCUGGCAAAGAAGCCCUCUAAUGAAGCAGCUCCAGACUUCCAGAUCCAUCCACUGGAAAUACAACCUGAGUGGUUCUCUCACCCAGGGCUUGCACCGAGGACAGGUUGUAAACCAUCUUACCAGACCCAGGCUGCUUCGAAUCAGCAUUGCACAGCACAGCGGUUUCCUCACACUGUCACUUAUGUUUACAAAUGAGGAAACCGAGGCCACCGGAGGUCAAGGACCUUACCUUCCACAUGAGUUCUUCAGGGUGGCAGUGGCACCGGGUGUACCAUGGCCUCGGCCUGGCACUAAUGGGGGCCUCCAGGCCUGGGCAGGUUUCCUUUGGGAGUUACAGCCUCUAUAUGAGGCUCAAAGCAGAACCCCUCCCCCCAGCUCACCCUGGCAGCCUCAUCCUGCUUCCCUCUGCCCUAGCUCUCCUCCCAGGCCACUGCCCCCCACCUCGAGACUCUGCCUUACCCCACCCUUGACAGUGACCGUGAAGAACCCCAAGAAACUUAGCCACAUGCAAUAUUCCCAUCUCCCACCUCCCCCAACAUACACCCUUUGA
This 809-nucleotide long non-coding RNA is filed under the name Capra hircus (goat). Its description in RNAcentral is "lncRNA (ENSCHIG00010004659.1)". The record is from RNAcentral. Lineage: Eukaryota; Metazoa; Chordata; Mammalia; Artiodactyla; Bovidae.